GCAGGCGGAGAGCAAGCACUGGCACACUCUUGACUCUCCGGCGCGGGGUAUCUGGCUACCUAUUCUCGAUGAGGAGAGUGUGCAAGAGGCUAGAGGGAGAGCGCGGUCCGGGCUCGUGGCGGUGAUCGCGAUUUUUAACACUUUUGGGCUACGUCGUCCCCCGUUUGUUCGCGCCGUUGUUUUUUUUUUUUUUUCGUUCAAAGGACCGAGCGAAUGAGAUAAAGAGAGUGAGCGGAAUAUUGUGCGACAGUGUGCGGCGAGCGAGUGCGAUAAGGCGGAAGAGUACAACACGGAUGGAUAGAUAAAGAGAAAGCGAGCGAGAAAAAGUAGCGGCCGGUUGCCCUCCUGGCUUGUGUGCGCCAUUUGUGACUGCCGGGUAAAUUGACCGAGUGAGGAAAAAUCAGUGUGUCCUCGAAUAAUCAACGCUUGACAAAACAACUGAAUAACGAAACACCCAACAGUCCAGGGUCAUCUUCUUGUCGGGUGUUCUCGUGUCCUUUAACGCUUUUUUUUUCUCGCCGCCUCGUAACGAACUGUCGCCGCGGCGACGAAACGCGCUCUCGGGCUUUUCGCCACGCGUGUUGAAUAUUUUUUCUCUCUUUUUGUGUUGAAAAAAAAAAAAAACGAAAAUAAAAGGCAUAACGUUCCCGUUCGGAGUGGACGAAUAACAUACGCGUUUCGUAUGUUUCUAUAUCUCUCUACGUGCAUAGAUAAAAAAAGAGCUCGCAGUGCGGACGGGCCCCGAUCGAACGUGUUGGUGCGAAGAAUAAAACAAAAAGGUCCGCGCUACUAUUUAUGUAGCUUGAAAAGAAGAGAAAACAAACGAAUCGAAGGAGGGACGAUCGUUGAAGAAAUAAGAAUCCGGAUUAUCGAGGAUUACCAGCAAACCAGGGGGCACUGCGGCCGGAGAGUGGGGCAGAACGAGGAUUACGAGAGAAUUAAAUUCGACAAGUUUACGUUAAUCGCGUGAAUUUUCGUAUUUCGCGAGAGCCGCGAAUUGCUUUCGUUGCCCGUGCGUUGUUGUUUGUUUGUUUUUUCCCUUUCAACUUUUUUUCGUGCCUCGUUCCUCGAUUCUUCUAUUCCAUCUUUUCAUUUUCCUUUCAAUAUUUUCAUCCGUAACAGUCGAAUCGAGCGAGAGAGCUAAAGUUUGGCGAGCGUGUUUUAUAUUUCGUUCGGAACUUGUCAACAAGCAGAAAAAAAACGCGAAAGGAUUCCACGUCGUCGGAGAUCGAAUCCAUCGAACGGGGAUAGAUCGCCGCCUCGUCCAUUCGUUUCCCAAGAGUUUCGAUAAAUCGGCUUCGCAUGCUUCGCAAAGUAUCGGAAAUAUCUGCAGAUCAUCCAAGGAGCAGCACGCGGAUAAAAUGCAGUAGCGACGCGACUCACGAAUAGCAGCUACCGGGGGACCUCCAAUCGUACGGAGGUCAAGGGAGUAGUGGUGCGAAGGAAGUAGUCCGAGCUGGUCAGCUUUGGAGCAGUACAGCCAAGUUGGCAUAGGCCAACUUAGGAGAAACGAGGCAGAAUGGCGACGAUAGAUGGGCGGCCCGCCCAAUAUGGCAUCACUCUCAAACAGCUUAGGGAGCUCAUGGAACAUCGAGGGCGCGAAGGUGUCAAUAAAAUUAAUGGCUACGGGGGAGUUCAGGAAAUUUGUAAAAAAUUGUAUACCUCGCCCAGCGAAGGCCUCAGCGGAUCGACGGCGGAUAUACAACACAGGCGAGACACAUUCGGUUCAAACAUGAUACCUCCGAAACCACCAAAAACAUUUUUACAAUUAGUGUGGGAAGCGUUGCAAGAUGUUACUUUAAUCAUUCUCGAAAUAGCCGCAUUGGUUUCGUUAGGUCUUAGCUUCUAUCAACCAAAGGAUGACGAUGACGACGAAAUUGUCGUCGGUCAUCUGGACGAGGACGAGGGUAAAUACGGUUGGAUCGAGGGCCUCGCGAUCCUUAUAUCUGUAAUAGUAGUGGUCAUAGUUACGGCAUUCAACGACUACUCCAAAGAACGACAAUUUCGAGGUCUUCAAAAUCGAAUAGAAGGAGAACACAAGUUUUCCGUAAUUCGGCAAGGAGAAGUUAAACAAAUCUCUGUGUCGGACAUCGUCGUGGGCGAUAUAUGUCAGAUAAAAUACGGUGAUUUGUUACCCGCCGAUGGUAUUCUUAUACAGAGCAACGACCUCAAAGUGGAUGAAUCCAGUUUGACGGGAGAAUCGGACCACGUUAAGAAGGGUGAAGCGUUUGAUCCUAUGGUGCUAUCGGGUACACACGUGAUGGAAGGCUCGGGUAAGAUGUUGGUCGCUGCGGUUGGCGUCAACUCGCAGGCCGGCAUCAUCUUUACUCUCUUGGGUGCAGCGGUCGACCAGCAAGAGCAAGAAAUCAAGAAAAUGAAGAAGGAGGCUAAAAAGCAGCGGAAGAAGAAGUCUCUAUCAGGCGACGAGGUUGGAGAAAUAACUGGCAACAGUCACACGAGUGGAGGAGCUAAACACGAAGGUGGAGAAAAUCAUCACGCCCCAGCAGCAUCCAGUGGCGGUGGAGGCCACGAAUCGAAAAAAGAAAAGAGCGUGUUGCAGGCCAAGUUGACGAAACUCGCGAUACAAAUUGGCUACGCUGGCUCGACGAUCGCCGUUCUUACAGUCGUUAUACUAGUCAUACAAUUCUGCAUAACGAAUUUCGUUAUACACCAAAGAGCAUGGAAAAGCAAGUAUGCCGGAAAUCUCGUACGCCAUCUGAUUAUCGGUGUGACCGUACUCGUCGUUGCCGUACCGGAAGGUCUUCCUCUAGCUGUCACACUCUCCCUCGCCUAUUCCGUCAAGAAAAUGAUGAAGGACAACAAUUUGGUGCGUCAUUUGGACGCUUGCGAGACGAUGGGUAACGCAACGGCCAUAUGCUCGGACAAAACCGGCACCCUGACGACCAAUCGGAUGACAGUCGUACAAUCGUAUCUGUGCGAAAAAUUGAGUAAAACGAUACCGUCGUUCGCGGAAAUACCUAAUCACGUUGGUAACCUGUUGAUUCAAUCGAUAUCGAUUAACUCGGCGUACACGUCCAGAAUAAUGCCCGGGCAAGAUCCUACCGAUUUGCCGAUGCAAGUCGGUAACAAAACCGAAUGUGCCUUACUUGGAUUCGUAAUUGCCCUGGGCAAAAAUUAUCAAACAUUGAGGGAUGACCAACCGGAGGAAACAUUUACGCGGGUAUACACGUUCAACAGCGUUAGAAAGAGUAUGUCGACGGUGAUACCGCGACAGGGAGGUGGUUACAGACUCUUCACCAAGGGCGCUUCCGAGAUCAUCAUGAAGAAAUGUGCCUUUAUUUAUGGUCGCGACGGAAAUUUGGAAAAAUUCACGCGAGACAUGCAAGAUCGUCUCGUUAAGAACGUGAUCGAGCCGAUGGCGUGUAACGGAUUACGUACAAUAUCAAUCGCGUAUCGUGACUUUGUACCUGGUAAAGCGGAGAUAAAUCAGGUUCACAGCGAGAACGAGCCAAACUGGGAGGACGAGGAUAAUAUCGUUUGUAAUUUGACUUGUUUGGGAAUAGUGGGUAUCGAGGAUCCGGUCAGACCCGAGGUACCGGAUGCCAUAAGGAAAUGUCAAAAAGCCGGCAUUACCGUCCGAAUGGUUACGGGAGAUAACGUCAAUACGGCGCGUUCGAUUGCCCAAAAAUGUGGUAUAUUCAAGCCGAACGAAGACUGGCUCAUACUGGAGGGUAAAGAAUUUAACAGGAGAAUAAGGGAUAGCAAUGGCGAGGUGCAGCAACAUUUGCUCGACAAAGUAUGGCCAAAAUUGAGGGUACUCGCGAGAUCAUCGCCAACUGACAAAUACACUCUGGUUAAGGGAAUGAUCGACAGUAAAGUAUCGGCAUCCAGGGAAGUCGUCGCCGUAACCGGUGACGGUACAAACGACGGUCCGGCGUUGAAGAAAGCCGACGUUGGUUUUGCCAUGGGUAUCGCCGGUACGGACGUUGCCAAGGAAGCAUCCGACAUUAUACUCACCGAUGACAAUUUUUCCUCGAUAGUCAAAGCCGUUAUGUGGGGUCGUAACGUUUACGAUAGCAUAGCCAAAUUCUUGCAAUUUCAACUUACCGUCAACGUUGUUGCCGUCAUCGUUGCGUUCAUCGGCGCUUGCGCCGUACAAGAUUCACCACUCAAAGCCGUACAAAUGUUGUGGGUUAAUUUAAUUAUGGACACUCUAGCCUCACUCGCACUCGCCACCGAAUUACCGACCCCCGAUCUUCUACUUCGCAAACCUUAUGGACGCACGAAACCGCUUAUAUCACGAACCAUGAUGAAGAACAUACUUGGUCAGGCCGUUUAUCAGUUGGUCGUUAUUUUUACGCUUCUAUUCAAAGGCCACGAUAUGCUCAACAUCGAUACGGGACUCGGAGUUGCGGAGCAGGGUGGCGGCGCGACCCAGCACUUUACAAUCAUAUUCAACACAUUCGUCAUGAUGACCGUGUUCAACGAAUUUAAUGCAAGAAAAAUUCAUGGUCAGCGCAAUGUCUUCCAGGGAAUCUUCACGAAUCCCAUAUUUUAUUCGAUUUGGAUCGGAACCUGCUUGUCUCAAGUAUUCAUCAUUCAGUACGGUAAAAUGGCGUUCAGCACAAAAGCUCUGGAUCUUGAUCAGUGGAUGUGGUGUCUCUUCUUCGGGAUUGGUACGCUACUGUGGGGCCAAGUAGUCACGUGUAUUCCGACCCGCAAGAUACCCAAGAUCCUUUCAUGGGGCCGCGGCCAGCCGGAUGAUAUCGGUGCUAUCAAUCUAGGAGACGAGAAUUACGAUCCAGACUCGGAUAAAAAGCCGCGGGCAGGACAAAUUCUGUGGAUUCGUGGUCUUACGCGGCUACAGACUCAGACGAGCAAUAGAACUCUGGUGCAGAAUGUAUCUGUGACAGGCAGAUCCCCCUCUCAGGAUUACUAUAUGCCAGCGGAACCCAUACGUGAGACUGAGGUAUAACAGAGCGGCAGUCUUGCCCGUCGCCAUACUUUUCCUGUCGGAGUACAAACAACUUCGAGUAAUCAGAGCAUUCAGGUCGAAUCUGGAAGAUCUGGAGGAACGUCGUUCUGUCCAUAGUUUACACAGCUUGCACAGUAUGAGAAGUUCGAGAAGUCACACCGGACCUAGACCAUUGUCCG
This 5115-nucleotide unclassified non-coding RNA is filed under the name Venturia canescens. RNAcentral describes it as "plasma membrane calcium-transporting ATPase 3, transcript variant X13". The record is from RNAcentral. Lineage: Eukaryota; Metazoa; Arthropoda; Insecta; Hymenoptera; Ichneumonidae.